CACUAAGAAGCUACGCACAGCACUAGCCUUUUAAGCUAGAGAGGAAGGGUUUUCUUCCUUGGUGA
Molecule: transfer RNA, 65 nt
Filed under: Takydromus amurensis (Amur grass lizard)
Lineage: Eukaryota; Metazoa; Chordata; Lepidosauria; Squamata; Lacertidae
Description: tRNA-Lys
Source: RNAcentral